UACGGAGGGCGCAAGCGUUAAUCGGAAUCACUGGGCGUAAAGCGUGCGUAGGCUGUUUGAUAAGUCAGGCGUGAAAUCCCUCGGCUCAACCGGGGAACUGCGCUUGAUACUGUCGAACUCGAGUCCUGGAGAGGGUGGCGGAAUUCCUGGUGUAGGAGUGAAAUCCGUAGAUAUCAGGAGGAACACCGGUGGCGAAGGCGGCCACCUGGACAGGUACUGACGCUGAGGCACGAAAGCGUGGGGAG
RNAcentral lists this ribosomal RNA (245 nucleotides) under uncultured bacterium. RNAcentral's name for it is "partial 16S ribosomal RNA". It matches the Rfam family "Bacterial small subunit ribosomal RNA", at positions 524 to 768 of the family's 1533-position model. The record is from RNAcentral.